Molecule: long non-coding RNA, 806 nt
Filed under: Physcomitrium patens
Lineage: Eukaryota; Viridiplantae; Streptophyta; Bryopsida; Funariales; Funariaceae
Description: long non-coding RNA (PPAT_LNC007582)
Source: RNAcentral
GAGAACCUCCAGAGGGAGAGCCCCCAGAGGGAGUUGGGCUAUAUGGGGGGCUAGAGUAAGAAGGAGAUGAUGGAGUGGUAGGAGAUGAACCAGACGGGGUAGGGCUGUAAGGGGGGCUAGAGUAAGUAGGCGACGACGGGGUAGGAGGAGACGGACCAGAUGGGGUCGGACUGUAUGGGGGACUGGAGUAAGUAGGAGACGAUGGAGUAGAAGGAGAUGGGUCGGAAGGAGUUGGGCUGUAUGGGGGACUCGAGUAAGAUGGAGACGAGGGAGUUGUAGGAGAUGAGCUGGAGGGAGUUGGACUGUAAGGAGGGCUGGAAUAGGUAGGAGAUGACGGAGAAGAACCAGAAGGAGUUGGGCUGUAAGGAGGGCUAGAAUAUGUAGGAGAUGACGGAGAAGGACCUGAAGGAGCAGUAGGAGAUGGACUAGAAGGAGCUGGGCUAUAUGGAGGACUGGAAUAAGUAGGAGAUGAGGGAGUCGUAGGAGAUGAACUGGAAGGAGUCGGGCUGUAUGGAGGACUAGAGUAGGAUGGAGAAGGGGUCACAGGAGACCCACCGGAGGGAGUACCAGGAGAGUAAGGAGGAGAACUGUAGACUGGAGUGGGAGUCACAGGGGAAGGAUCGGAAGCAACUGGGGGAGAAUACGAUGGAGUGUAGGGAGUAGCCGGUGGAUCAGUGGAGGGAGGAGGAGGGCAGAGAGUCAAACUCGGGAUCAAGCUUCCCAGGCCUGAAGACGUGAGAAGCACCCUCGCCUCCGUGUUGACGAUACAAGCGCAGCAGCUUAGAAGAGCUGCGACGAGAAUCAGC